GGCUGGGUAGCUCAGUUGGUUAGAGCAUUGUCCUGAUAUGCCAAGGUUGCAGGUCCAUUCCCCAGUCA
This 68-nucleotide transfer RNA is filed under the name Myotis lucifugus (little brown bat). It matches the Rfam family "tRNA". Rfam says of the family: Transfer RNA (tRNA) molecules are approximately 80 nucleotides in length. Their secondary structure includes four short double-helical elements and three loops (D, anti-codon, and T loops). Further hydrogen bonds mediate the characteristic L-shaped molecular structure. tRNAs have two regions of fundamental functional importance: the anti-codon, which is responsible for specific mRNA codon recognition, and the 3' end, to which the tRNAs corresponding amino acid is attached (by aminoacyl-tRNA synthetases). tRNAs cope with the degeneracy of the genetic code in two manners: having more than one tRNA (with a specific anti-codon) for a particular amino acid; and 'wobble' base-pairing, i.e. permitting non-standard base-pairing at the 3rd anti-codon position. Lineage: Eukaryota; Metazoa; Chordata; Mammalia; Chiroptera; Vespertilionidae. The record is from Rfam by way of RNAcentral.